Molecule: long non-coding RNA, 8589 nt
Filed under: Musa acuminata (dwarf banana)
Lineage: Eukaryota; Viridiplantae; Streptophyta; Magnoliopsida; Zingiberales; Musaceae
Description: long non-coding RNA (MACU_LNC006416)
Source: RNAcentral
CCAAAAAUGGUAUACAAGGUUAUUAUAGAAAACAUGUCCCAGGCCUACUUAACAAGUGGUUUUCAUCUAGAAAUCCAGCUAACAAACAGGAACUACUUUUGUCGGCGCUUCUACAAAAAAAAGAGCUUCAAUAAACAAAAUCCAGUCACGCACUUCUGACACAUAAAAUGUGAAUAAAUGUUAUGAUCUCUAUUCAAAAUUACGGACAUGCUCUUGCAUCAACAUGCAGUAGAGAAAAUCUUGAUAUUUCCUCAAGCCAUAUCCGUGAUUGCAAAACAUUUAGUGGGAAACCUUAAGAUGAAUCACUUGUAAUUUAAACUUGAUUCAAACAUAAAGUUUAGACCCCAGGUGGAAACCAAAAUGGUGAAGCAAGAAGUACAAAUGCAAUAAUCUUACUCAACCAUGCUCUGUAGGUUGGUUGUUAUUGUUUUUGCUUGUCCUAUCAAAUUUAUUAUGCAACUAAAAGUAAGAUCCGUAAUCAACUAUGUACAUGGAAGUCAGUUUAUCACACCUACUCUACCUACUUCACAUGCCUGAAGAAUAGCAUAAGAAACUAGGAUAGAUAUUUGUGCACUAUAAUUGCCAGCAUAAUACCAGGAUAAAUGAGAUCCCAAGUUCCAAACGUUUGACAUCCUUUUUGUUGCCAAAUUUUAUUGGACUAGUGACAAGUGUAACAUAUUAAGGUUAUAUAUUUGCAUGUUCACAUCAUGCAUUUAACUAGUGCUAUGAGAGGGUAAAAUUCCUUGAGCUUAAAAAAUGAAUGACUGAAGAGUGCAAAAAUAAAGUGAAUACCUGAUCACGCUUUUCAACUUUUAUAACUGCUUUCCGCAACCCAAACCCUGGAUCUGACCUUGAUGACUUGGUAAUGGUCCCAAACCUCCGCUUGCAAACAGGACAUCGUGACUCAACUUUUGACCAUUCCAUUAUGCAUGCAAAGCAGAAAUAAUGUGUGCAGCAAUUCAACACUCCUCGAACUGUCAUCCUUUGCUCCUCUGAUAAACAGAUCCCGCAGAGCGGCUUCCCCAGCUCAUCGUUUUCUUUCUCCUUGCCCUUCUUGUCGCCUUUCAUUCCGGCAGAUAUCCUCUUCAGCUGAGGCUGAUCCAAAACCCCACCAACUCCCAGAUCCCUUAAUUCUUCCUCAGAAAUCAUAUAAUCACCAUCUAAAGAAGACUCUGAUUUAUCCGACGAGACCAUAACCUUUCCCCGUGUUCUUUUUGUGUUUGUCUUCCUGAAAUAUUUGUUGUUAAUCUCCGGUCUAUUUAACAAAACCGUGUCCCCCAUGAAAUCAUCAUCUGAAGUUACAAAAUCAAAAUCGGAUGUAUCUGAUUCCACUGGCGACUUAUUCUUGAUAGCCCACGAUGUUGAGACUUUCCUCCUCCCUGUUUCCUUAGGUUUUUUCGACUUUCUAUCAACCGCAACACGAUCUUUCACAAUGAAAUCAUCAUCUUCGCCAGAUCUGUGUGGCCUGCUCCUUUUCCCUUUCUUUCGUUUCAAAGCCCUCGGCUUCCGCUUCUUCCCACCUUGUUUCGGAUUUCCUCCUUUCCUUUUAAAUUCCGAAAUCACAGAUGCCUCUUCAUCCUCAAAAUCUUGCUCAUCGGGCGAGAAAUCCUCAUCCCCAUCAUCGUCUUCUUCCUCCCUUACCUCUUCCUCAGAAUCCGAAGCCCUAGGCUUCUGACGGCGAGAUCUAACCCCAGCCUUCUUCCUCCUCUCCCCCUUCUUCCGAAUCGAAAAAUCCACUCGAUCCUCCUCCUCCUCCUCGUCUUCUUCCUCCUCCUCCUCCUCCUCCUCGUAAUCAUCGUCGUCAUCGUCAUCCCAAACCCUAGAUUUCUUCACCCUCCUCUUGGGUUUGGAAGGGGCCUUUCGGGGCUUCGAUCUCGGCGCCAAGAACUCCUGCUCAUCAUCCUCAUCGGAGCCACCGGUGGACUCGCCGAACUCGUAUUCGUCUUCCUCGCCGUCGGAAGCGAGGGGUUCGUCAGAGCUCUCCUCCUCCUCCUCCUCUCCCAAGACGUACUCCUCGUCAUCGUCGUCGUCGUCGUCGUCGGAGGCCUUGGAUCGGCGCCUACGCCUCCGUCCGGCGGCCGCCCGCUUGUAAACGACCCUCCCUCCUCUUCCCAUAUCACCUAUUAAGAGUAUCACCGCCGCCCCCCCCGCCCCCCAACAACCAGAAGAGAGAAAAAACAAAAAGUAGGGAUUAAUCGUUAAAAACCAUCAAAACCAAUGUUUUUCCCUGCAACGGGAAAAGAAUUCGAAACAUUACUGUUGAUCUUUUCUUUCUUUUCUCGUUGUUCUUGAAAUAAAUAAAGAUUCGAAAUAGAAAACCAUGACGAAGAAUUUCCCUCAUUUGUAGAAGAUGAAGAAGACAAAAAAGAAAAAGAAAAAGCGGGAGAGAGGGAGUCGUAGGGAAAUAUAAAAGUGUGGGAGGGUGGUGGGGUUAAUUGUUGCGUUCGUCGUACCUUCUCUCGAAGAGGCGGAGACGAGGACGGGUGGCGGCGUCGGCCACAGGAGAGGAAUCGCGAGACACGAGAGAGAGAGAGAGAGAGAGGCGAGUGAAGAUAGGCUGAGGACGAGGGGGCGGUGGGCCGCCGACUUGAUGCCUGUGGUCGCUUAAUCACGAGAACGCCCUCCGCGGUAGGGUGGUCCUGCGGAGUAGCGUAGACGCGAGGGAGGCUCCGGGAUGCCCUCCAACCGAGGCUUUUCAUUUGAUGGGGAAACCCUCGCUAUUGAUUAACUGCCAUGCCGUGGGGUCCACUCAUACCCCUCCUCAUGUUUGCCUCUUCCCCAAUAGACGAUCGACACGGAGGACUGUGCGUCGCUUGCAUGUUUUCCAAGCUCAAAAUGUUACCUGUCAAACCUUACCGCGUCAGUUGUUUAUUAUUAUUAUUAUUAUUAGUAUUAUUAUUAUUAUUAUUAUAAACAAAUUAGAUAAGACCUUUUCUAAAAUAUAAUUUUAGUAGCAUAAAAAAAGGAGAAAUAACAAAUUUUGAAUAAUUAAAUUAAAUAUUUUAAUUAUAAUUCUUAAAUUUAUUUAUUUUUUACCACUAAGGUAUUGAUCUGACAUAUUUUACACAUAAAAUAUUAAUUCCAUGAUGAUGUACCAGACCUAUUUAUUAAAAAUUAAAAAAAUUUAUUUGAAGAUGCUAAUUAAUUUAACUGAUAAAUAAUUUAUUAUAAAAUUUUUUACUCAAAUCUUCUUUUUAUUAUUUAUCUUUUACAUUAUUAGGCCAAUCUUAACAGAGAAAUAUGUGCCCCAAAAAAAGAAAAGAAAAGAAAAGCAGUUAAGAUAAAAUGUUCAAAUGGAUUUUCACAAGUAAUAGAAUGAAAGUUAAAACAAAAAAGAAAUGUCUAAUAUGGUCUGGUCAUGAUGGCAUGUUCAAAGAAAACCUAUGUAUAGGUCAAUCAAAUUUGGUGAUGUUUCAUAACUUGUUUCAUGCACAAUUAUGUGGUUAUAAUUCACUUCCAAAUCAACCAUUGGCCAUCCUACAGUAUCAUAACAUCUAAUAUUGCAGAACUUAAAUGAGGACACCUUAGAGAUGCCAGCCCAGAAAGGUCAAGAACAGGUGCUGAUCUUAGGAUGGUCAGUAAGUACAUUGAAUCCUUAACAAGCUGAGCCAUGGAAAUUUCUCUCUCAAGAAGGAAAAGAACAACUAAUAAAAAUGUUGAGGAUGGGGUAGUUUGCCUAACACUGAAAGAAGAGGAAGUCUGCCCUGUUCUUCCACUGCAGUCUGAAAAGUCUCUCAUGUGAUAACCUUUCUCUUCACUUCAAUCACAAUUAGUCCAAACCUUUCUUUUCACCUGCAGUCACAUCAGCAAAGUUUAUGGACAAGAGCUCAUUCAUCCUUUCAAUGGUAGUUGGAUUGAGGCCAUGAGUGCCAAUCUUCCUACUUCUAUCCUAAUAUAGUUGUUAUUUUAUUUUAUGAUCUUAAACCAAAGAUUUUUUCCCUUAAUAGUCAAAGCAUAUAUGAAAAACCCCACAAGGGAAAGAUGUCAGCAAUUAAUGUGCUUAUUUUAAGGACCUACAUAUCAUUAAAAGAAAUAAAAAUCAAUAGUAUAUGUUUUUUUUUCUCUUUAUACAAGUUCUAAAAUUCUGUUGGAAUUAAAUGUAUGAUUUAGUAUUGAUAUCAAAAUAGACAGAAAAAUCUGUCUUUUUCAAAUAUGACAACCUCUCCACAUGAUUUGGAUAUGAUAAAGGCUGAUAUUAUCUUACCAAUCCUACUCACUCAUAAUUCUCCAAGUAGGGCUCAUCAGAUAGACAUGGUAAGACUUUUAAGACCAAUAUUGACCAGGCAAUGGUUAAUGAUCUGAUUUCAUUUAUAUAAAUAUAUAUAUAUUUGAGGCCAUUAAGAUUUCUACAUGACAGAUAAUAAUUUGCUGUUUAAUCUCUGGUUCUCUUACUCUGAUAUUAAAGAUUAAAUUCUUUCUAUGUACUGAAAAAUGAUUCCCAACUAAUGAGAAUUUUACCUCUGCCUCAAUGUAGUGCCUCAGAGAACAAUAAUAAUUUCAUUGGUCAGCCUUCAUCCUCUUGCAACAGUGCAGAAAGCAUUAGUACUCUCCAAAACAAUCUCAACUUUCAGAGAGAGAGAGAGAGAGGUGUUAGAAUGACAAUCUUCACAAAAUAUGAAACAAAUCAACUGAAUAUUAAGAUGGUUUGGGAAGCAAAUAAAGAACCCUAAUGACUGCCUCACUGACCAUAACUGAUAGAAUGAGAAAGUUAAGAGGGCAUACUUUGAUCAGAGAGUACUUACUGUUUUCUCAUUCUCUUCUCUAUUUCUUUCUCUUCCUGAAAAUUAUUCUGUGUGCCUCAACCAAAAACUCACCAAAUAAACUUUUUCUUUCUGCACAAUUCUAUUUUCUUCACUGACACAUCUGAAUCAUCUAACUAACAGUAAUGGAGAUCACUUCACUAAGCUACAAAUAUGCUCUAAAUACAUGCAAUAUUAGUUGGAACAACUAAUAUUUGGAUUAAUCUUGUAUUACCUAUCCUGUUCCAGAAACAAGCUUGUGUGAUGACUGGGGUACAUCAAAACUUUAUAGGUCUUAAGGUGCCUUCCAUUACAAUUUUAUGUAACCAUGAAAUCCAAUCUGGCAAUUAAGUUCCAUAACUGACCAACUUAGGUACAGUUAUGCAUACAUCAAUCAUGAACCUGCAUAUUCAUAACACCAAAUCUGAAAGAAAAAGGAAAGAACAACAAAAAAGACAUACCUCAGAAGCCAUUAAUUUAUUAGCAUAAAGGUUAGAAUUCUCCUUUUCCCUGCUCAUAAGGAUAGGAAACCAGAGAUGGAUCACCUCAAUAUAUAUAUAUAUAUAUAUAUAUNNNNNNNNNNNNNNNNNNNNAUAUAUAUAUAUAUAUAUAUAUAUAUAUAUAUAUAUAUAUGUUAUUGUAAUUGACCUUUUAUUUUCAAUUGAUAAUAUAAAUAUUCAAUAAUAAAUAUUGGAGAUUACAUUUUUCGCGUAGAUAUCCCUAAUCCGAAUUUUGAAGUUUAGCAUAUUGUAUUCCUUCAAGACACAGUAACUUACAAAUAUUUCACUGUAAUUAGUGUUCUAUCUCCAAUUCAUAUUAAUAUCCUUCAAAAAGUUGUUUAUAUUUUUAAUAAUAUUAUUUAUUUAUUUAUUUAUAAAAUUAAGUUUUAAAUCGAAAAGUCAAGUGAGCAAUGAAACUAAUAAUGGAUAUGUUGGGUGUUUGGAGUUUGGAGUUUUUAUCUGUAUCGAGAUCAUUGAUAAUCAUAAUGAUUAAUCUUAAUUUAUUAUAUAUAUAUAUAUAUAUAUAUAUAAUCCUAGUAAUAAAUUUUUAUUAUAUGACGCUUUGAUUUUUACUAGGAGUAUCUUUUUUUAAAAAAAUCUUAAUAAUACCUUUGAAUCGAGUCAAUCGAUUUGUAAUCUAAUUCGAUUCAAGUCAAAUCAAUUUGAAUCGGAUCCCUUAGGAUCGAUUUGGAUAUCCUUUAUGUUCAAGCUACAUUUAUGUUUCAAUUGAAUUAUACGUGUGUUAUAUUCAUAAUCUAUUAAAAUUAUUUUAUUUUUUAUGAAUAAUUAUCAAAUAAAAAAUAGUAUAAUAUUUACACAACAAUUAAAUUGAUCUUAGACUGCACACGAUGGAUUGCAGUUGUAAAUAGUUAAAAGCUAUUAUUUUUCAAAGUGUUGCAUUAAGUUGGACUUUUAACUGUGGUUAUUAGAAACCCUAGUAAUAAGUAAAGCCUUAUGUCGCGGGUUUACUUGUGAGUUAAUUUGAUGAAGCCUUUUCCUCUUUUCAUCAGCCAACCGGUAGAGGAUCAAAAGUGAAGAGUCAAAACAUUUUCUUUUAAAGAGGGCAUUACAGAAAUAACAUUAUAUGUUUGGUGCACAUUGGUAGAGGUGGGUAGUGUGUUUGGUGCUUAAUAUAAUUAUACGUUAUAUGUAAUAAAAAAAAAUUAUAUUAUGAUUGAAAUCAAAUAACAUUAAAUUGGUUUUUAUAUGAUGUAUAUCUUUCGAUGUUAUUUGAAAAAUGAUUUCUGUGUGAUCUGGAUAUUAUAUUUAGAUCUAAAAACUAUUGUAAGGAGAACUAGAUUCUCCUCCUCUCUUUCUAUAAGUGGUUUAGGGAGGUUGAGAGAAAAACUAUAAUCUUUCAACUACGUACUCUAUGACAUGCGUCAUUUAGUUUCUAGAGGUCAUAUCUAUUUAUAUGUGAGAACAGAGAAUAUAUGAUAAAUUAUUAGGAGAGUACCUCCCAUCAAGGACAUCCCCUAUGGAAUCUUACUAUAAUAUAGACUUCUUUUCUUCUUAUCAAUAUCUAUCAUCAGAAUCCAAUUAAUUCUAUUAUAUAUUUUAUUCAAUUAUUAUAAAUAACCACAUGAUAGUAUCAUUCUAAUAAUAAUAGUAAUGUGUAGUUGUGUCUCAUGCGUUUCUUACAUGCCUUACUUCGACCUUCAAAUUCUCACGAAACAAUCAUAUAAUUACUUCGUAUGUUUUUUCUUUAGAUUAUAUAUACUCCUACUAUGUUCAUCGAUAUGGUUGAGGCUCUCACAAAUUCUAAAUUAGUUAAUGCUAAAUUAUUCACCAAAAUAAUUUUCAUGAACCUUUUUUUUUUCCUUUCUCAUUCUUAAGAAUAUUACUAUCUUAUUGUUUGUCAUAUAAAAAAACAGUAUAUUAUUGUUUAUUAUAUAUAAAAGAUCACAUCUAUCUAUGGAGGCUGUGUAAUUAAUUUUCUUUGGCUUUUAUUUUUGUAGAUCUCGGAAGGACAAAAAGAAACUAUAACAUAGGAAACAAAAAGAGGAUGUAGAAGAAAGUAUGUGACUCAUUAUUACUUUAUUUUGAUGAUACCUGUCAUAUAUUCAUUCUUUAAGUAGAAUUUAAUUUUUCUUUCUUUAAGUGAUGCUAAAAAAAAAGAGAAAAGAAUAAAGCUUGUAUAGGAUGUAGUUCUUUGUGAUGAUAGAUAUUUCUUGUUAUUCACAACAUGAUCAAUUUUAUGCGAUCUAUGUUGUCUUUCCUUCUCAGCAUUCAUAUCAUUGUAUUGAAAUUAAGAUUUUAGAAAUAUCCAAUUAUCAUUAUUUUCUAUAUUUAUUUAUUUGCUGCAUGUUGAGGGAACAUAUGGAGAAUUAUUUUUGUAAAAUAUUGAUUGCAUUAUGUUAUGAUAAACUUAUAUGAAGUAGUUAAUUAAAUUUUGUAUUUGAAGUUGGCUAUGCUUUAUUAUUAUUAUUAUUAUUAUUAUUAUUAUUAUUAUUAUUAUUAUUAUUAUUAUUAUUAUUAUUAUUUUGUAUAAACGAUAUUGUUGAUAAAUGAAUUUGUUAGUCUUUUAUGAAAUUAUUGUGAUCCAUCCCAAUGGUUGCUAAGUGUAAUCAUAGAUAAAUCAUCUUAUCUAUUAUAUAGUCUAGUAUUGUGGUUGUCAUCCAUGCUAUAAAAUAUAAUCUUUUUCGUAAAAGAAAUCUAUUAUUAUAAUUAUUUUAUAUAGGGCAAAAGUAUCUAUUACUGUGAUUGAUUUAUUAUUGCAGCUAUUCUUACAUGAUAAAGCAUGAUUUAUUAUUGUGGUUAACGAUUGUGGGAUGAAAUAAUCUAUUAUUGUGAUUGAGUUACCAUAGUAAUAUGUAGACAUUUACUUGUGAUUAUAAAAUCCAUAACUUUUUCUAGUAUAUUUUGUUGUAGUAUUAUUAGAAUCGUAUUCUGGUAGAAUUCUUAAAGUUUUGAUAAUUAAUUAACCUAAAAAUAUCUUUAAAAAUUAAUUUUUAAAGUAGAUUAAAUAAUUGAAUUUAACUUAUUUUGAUUUCAAGGGUAAAUAAGUCAAUAUAUGAAAUAGAAAAUAUAGGAUUUUGUGAUUAGUUUUAUAAUAAAUUUAAGAUAAUUUAUAUAAAAUUAUUAUUAUUUAAACAAUAAGUGUAACUCGAGCAUAACAUUUUUGUUUUGGAUACUUUAGAAUAAUUUUACAUAAAAAUUAAUAUAUUUUUUAAGAUAACUUGAGUUUUUAGUUUUACGACGAAUCUAGGAUAAUUUUAUAUCAAAACUAAUGUACUUUAAUAUUUUUUAUGAAUAAGUGUCACUCCAAGCAUAAUGACUUUUCUGGAUAACUUAGAAUAAUUUUAUUUAAAAAAUAAAAUAUAUAUAUACAUAUAUUAGGAUAAUUUAAA